AUUAAAAACGAGAAUAGUAACUUUAAUAAUAUUCUCAAUUGUUUUUACAAACGUACACGGUCGGUUAUAACUGCUGUUUUGAAAGUCUGAGUCAUAUUCCUCUGUUUCCUAAUUAUCAUUUUCCGCAUUUCAAAACGUAUCUUUUAGUUUUGUAUAUAUACUUAGUUAUGUUGCUUGAAGAAAUUUUGUCUUUCCUUAUCAAAUUUGUGGUUAUUUCCGCAUUCACCAUUGCGUUUCUUCUGAUUUUGCCAACGUUGAGUGCUAUUGUCUUGGACAUUGUGGUAUGCGGAUACCUUGCUUUGUACCGACUUUAUGAAAUUGGAGGCGGUUGCAUCCAAAAGCCUUCAAAAGCCGUUCACCCAAAGUCCUCUUAAUUCCGUUACAGUCUUAGCUGGCUUUCGAGUUUUGAUUCUUUUUUUAAUAGAUUGUCCUUCUGUUUUUUGUUUUUAAAACAUAUAAGUUGUUUUCUCCUCUUAAUAUCCUCAGAACGUUUCUUUGCUUUGAUAUAUUUGGCCGUCCAGUUUAUUUUUUUUCCUUUUUCUGCCGCCAAUUAAAAAAUUUAUAAAAGAAUGCUUAAGUAAAGCUGACCAUCCAACUGGUUAUUAUUUUUCACUUGCUUGUAUACUCUUGCUAAUAUGUUUUGUGCUUUUUUCCCUAUCCUUUCUCCCUUAUUAAUUUUAUAAAUACGCAACAAAAAAAUGGUUCUCCAAAAUACAUAAUUUAAUAUUUCACAUUCAUACUGAUUGUGAAUUCAAUAAUCAGAAAUAAAUAAUUCGUUAAAAUAAAACAAAAAAGAAGAAAACUACUGCUGUUUUUGGUGAUUUCGUGUUCCUUUUUUCCUACAGUACUAUUACAUUUCUCUGUUUUCGCUAAGAAGCUUUUGUUUAUGAGUCGUUAUCAUUACGUUUUCAUUUCAUUAGUUUCUACCUCAAUUAUUAGAAAAAUGUUCAGACAUCCAUCUCUCCCCCAACUUUAUUGCAUAGUCUCGCUCAAGAAAUUUCCGCCGUUCUUCAAGUUUUUUGUCUCGUAAGGUUAACACAUCUUCUGUGUUUUUUCUCUGCUGUUGUGUAACCUUAGCAUGAAUCUCCUUUAAAGAUAGAAGUUGCUCUUCUCUUUCUUUUUCGUCAAAAGAAAACUGGUAAAAUGCCGUACCUUUAUUCCUUACUUCCUUAGUCGAGUCAUAAUGAACUGCUUGCUGCUCAUCUUCCUUCCACAAUUUUUGAACCUUUUCUUCGUCUACUUCGAAGGAUGGCAUAUAGUCACCGUAUAUUGGCUUUUCGGGCUUGUACUCCUCCUUUUGUGAAAGUAGGGUAUUACCGGUCUCGUAAAUAGAGACACUCCUGGUUCGCCCAAAUUCAUCCGUUAUUUCAACUGUUUCAUUUUCGGGUGCUUCCUCAGCCCAUUUGCGUGUGAAGUCGACAAGGAUUCCAUCAUCUUCUGUCUCCUUUAUUUCCAGUUCUCCGGCAGCAUACUGGUCGUAUUUUUUAGCUUUUCGUUCCAGUUCCAGACGACUUC
RNAcentral lists this unclassified non-coding RNA (1515 nucleotides) under Schizosaccharomyces pombe (fission yeast). Its description in RNAcentral is "antisense RNA (predicted)". The record is from RNAcentral. Lineage: Eukaryota; Fungi; Ascomycota; Schizosaccharomycetes; Schizosaccharomycetales; Schizosaccharomycetaceae.